This 60-nucleotide transfer RNA is filed under the name Rhipicephalus appendiculatus. Its description in RNAcentral is "tRNA-Leu". Lineage: Eukaryota; Metazoa; Arthropoda; Arachnida; Ixodida; Ixodidae. The record is from RNAcentral.
AUUAAAGUGGCAGAUAAAUGCAAGGAAUUUAAGCUUCCUUUAUGAGAAAUUCCUUUAAUA